Molecule: ribosomal RNA, 460 nt
Filed under: uncultured bacterium
Lineage: Bacteria
Description: partial 16S ribosomal RNA
Rfam family: Bacterial small subunit ribosomal RNA
Source: RNAcentral
CCUACGGGAGGCUGCAGUGAGGAAUAUUGGUCAAUGGGCGGAAGCCUGAACCAGCCAAGUCGCGUGAGGGAUUAAGGCCCUGCGGGUCGUAAACCUCUUUUGCCGGGGAGCAGUGGUCCGGACGCGUCCGGACCGGGAGAGUACCCGGAGAAAAAGCAUCGGCUAACUCCGUGCCAGCAGCCGCGGUAAUACGGAGGAUGCGAGCGUUAUCCGGAUGUAUUGGGUUUAAAGGGUGCGCAGGCGGAGGUGCAAGUCAGCGGUCAAAUUGCGGGGCUCAACCCCGUACUGCCGUUGAAACUGCAUCCCUUGAGUGCGCGAGAAGUAUGCGGAAUGCGUGGUGUAGCGGUGAAAUGCUUAGAGAUCAUACAGAACACCGAUUGCGAAGGCAGCUUACCAAGCUACUUCUGACGUUGAGGCACGAAAGCGUGGGGAGCAAACAGGAUUAGAUACCCUUGUAGUC